AGUGAACGCUGGCGGUAGGCCUAACACAUGCAAGUCGAACGGCAGCACAGGAGAGCUUGCUCUCUGGGUGGCGAGUGGCGGACGGGUGAGGAAUACAUCGGAAUCUGCCCAGUCGUGGGGGAUAACGUAGGGAAACUUACGCUAAUACCGCAUACGACCUUCGGGUGAAAGAGGGGGAUCGCAAGACCUCUCGCGAUUGGAUGAGCCGAUGUCGGAUUAGCUAGUUGGCGGGGUAAUGGCCCACCAAGGCGACGAUCCGUAGCUGGUCUGAGAGGAUGAUCAGCCACACUGGAACUGAGACACGGUCCAGACUCCUACGGGAGGCAGCAGUGGGGAAUAUUGGACAAUGGGCGCAAGCCUGAUUCAGCCAUACCGCGUGGGUGAAGAAGGCCUUCGGGUUGUAAAGCCCUUUUGUUGGGAAAGAAAUCUUUCAGGCUAAUACCCUGGGAGGAUGACGGUACCCAAAGAAUAAGCACCGGCUAACUUCGUG
RNAcentral lists this ribosomal RNA (490 nucleotides) under uncultured bacterium. RNAcentral's name for it is "partial 16S ribosomal RNA". It matches the Rfam family "Bacterial small subunit ribosomal RNA", at positions 29 to 507 of the family's 1533-position model. The record is from RNAcentral.